AUCUAGCCCUGAUGGGAGGGAAAAUCCUUUUGUGCCGGUCCCGAGGCUUCGGGAGGCACAAAAGAUUUGGAAGGACAGCAGGAAAUAGC
This 89-nucleotide small RNA is filed under the name Flavobacterium sp. HMWF030. Its description in RNAcentral is "Flavo-1 RNA". It matches the Rfam family "Flavo-1 RNA". Lineage: Bacteria; Pseudomonadati; Bacteroidota; Flavobacteriia; Flavobacteriales; Flavobacteriaceae. The record is from Rfam by way of RNAcentral.